This 253-nucleotide ribosomal RNA is filed under the name uncultured bacterium. RNAcentral's name for it is "partial 16S ribosomal RNA". It matches the Rfam family "Bacterial small subunit ribosomal RNA", at positions 524 to 776 of the family's 1533-position model. The record is from RNAcentral.
UACGAAGGGGGCUAGCGUUGCUCGGAAUGACUGGGCGUAAAGGGCGCGUAGGCGGAUGGCACAGUCAGAUGUGAAAUUCCCGGGCUUAACCUGGGGGCUGCAUUUGAUACGUGUUGUCUUGAGUUCGGAAGAGGGUCGUGGAAUUCCCAGUGUAGAGGUGAAAUUCGUAGAUAUUCGCAAGAACACCAGUGGCGAAGGCGGCUCACUGGCCCGAUACUGACGCUGAUGCACGAAAGCGUGGGGAGCAAACAGG